UCAAAAACAGUUCAUGAGAACACUAACUUUGGGAGUUAGAAGAUGAUGUUUAAAUCAUUUUUGAA
RNAcentral lists this transfer RNA (65 nucleotides) under Berthella plumula. RNAcentral describes it as "tRNA-Pro". The record is from RNAcentral. Lineage: Eukaryota; Metazoa; Mollusca; Gastropoda; Pleurobranchida; Pleurobranchidae.